AAAGAUCUUUCAAACUCUGUCGAUUAGAUU
This 30-nucleotide small RNA is filed under the name Bombyx mori (domestic silkworm). RNAcentral's name for it is "piRNA piR-bmo-1754744". The record is from RNAcentral. Lineage: Eukaryota; Metazoa; Arthropoda; Insecta; Lepidoptera; Bombycidae.